This 11997-nucleotide long non-coding RNA is filed under the name Salmo salar (Atlantic salmon). RNAcentral's name for it is "lncRNA (ENSSSAG00000083258.1)". The record is from RNAcentral. Lineage: Eukaryota; Metazoa; Chordata; Actinopteri; Salmoniformes; Salmonidae.
UUUCCUAAAUGUCCAUUUCAAUAUUUCUGUUAAUGUUAAUGAUAAACUUUUACCUCAGUUGUGACAUUUAAAGCCAAAGUAAAGUAAUCCUGGGACUGUGGAUUUUUGUAGGCUUCCAAAAAUUGUCGAUUCAUCCGGAACUGUAGAAUAAGUACACCUUCAUUUGACGUUGGAGGGUCAGUGGAUGCGGUGGUUGGGGAAACAGUAGUUGUUGGAGCAAGAGUUUUUGUUGUUGAUGGUGAAGCUGUGGUCGUUGUGGGAGCGGCAUUGGUAGUUGUAGGGGCAAUGGUGGUUGUUGUGGAGUUAGAUGUAGUUGUGGUAGCGCCAGCUGUGCUGGUAGUUACAGCAGCUGUUGUCCUUGUGGCAAAAGCUGCUGUUGUUGUUGUGGUGGCAGUUGUAGUUGUAGUGGGAACAACUAUUGUUAUUGUAGCAGCAGCUGUAGUUGAUGUGGGGGCAGCUCUAAUUGUUGAGUGAGCCACUGUUGUUGUGGGAGCAGGAGCUGAAGUUGUUGUUGCUGCUGCGGUUGUUGUGGUUGCGGCAGUGGUUAAAGUGGGAUAAGCUGUGAUUGUUGUGGCAGCUGCUGUGGUUAUUGUGGUAGCAGCUGGGGUUGUUUUGGGGGUGACAUUGGUGGUCGUUGCAGCAACUGUGGUUGUCGACGGGUAAGCUGGGGUUGUAGUGGCAGCCGCUGUUGUUGACAUUGGUACUGCUGUGGUUGAAGUUGGUACUGCUGUGGUUGUUAAAUGGGCAGCUGUGGUUGUUGUUGGAGCAACUGUAGUUGUUGUGGGGUUGGCUGUUGUUGUCAUAGCACCAGCUGUGGAUGUUGUAAGGGAAGCUGUUGUGGUUGUGGUUGCUGUAGUUUUGGGAUAAGUUGUUGUUGUUGUGGGAGAAGUUGUGGUUGUUGUGGUCGAAGCUGUUGUUGUUGUGAUAGAAGCUGUUGUUGUAGCAGCAGCUGUGAUUGUGGUUGGAGCAGGUGUGGUUGUUGUGGGUGCAGCUGUACUUGUUGUAGCUGCAGCUAUUGUGGUUGUUCUGAGAGCGUCUGUGGUUGAUGUGGACAGGGCUUCGAAUGUUGUAGCCUCUGUGGUUGUUGUGGGAGCAGAUAUGGUCGUUGUUGGAGUAGAUGGUGUGGUGGGAGAAGCUGUGGUUGUUGUGGGUGCAGCUGUGGUAGAUGUGGGGUAAGCUGUGGUUGUUGUGGGAGUAGAUGUUGUGGUGGGAGAAGCUGUGUUUGUGGAUGCAGCUGUGAUUGUUGUUGCCACAACUGUGCUUGUUGAAGCUGUAGAUGUUAUUGGUGUUGCUGUUGACAUUGUGGGAACAGCUGUGAUUCUUGUGGGAGAUGCUGUGGAUGUUGUGGGAGCCGCUGUGGUAGUUGUGGGGUAAGCUGUGGUUGUUGUGGGAGUAGAUGUUGUGGUGGGAGAAGCUGUGUUUGCGGAUGCAGCUGUGAUUGUUGUUGCCACAGCUGUGCUUGUUGAAGCUGUAGAUGGUAUUGGUGUUGCUGUUGACAUUGUGGGAACAGCUGUGGUUGUUGUAAGUGAAUCUGUUGUGGUUGUGGGAGAAGUUGUGGUUGUCUUGGGUUUAGUUGUGGUUGUGGUAGGGCCAGCAGUGGUUACAUCAGCUGUUGUUAUUGCUAUGGGAGCUGUUGUAGUGGGAGCCGCUGUGGUUGUAGUGGGAGCCGCUGUGGUUAUAGUGGGAGCCGCUGUGGUUGUAGUGGGAGCCGCUGUGGUUUUAGUGGGAGCCGCUAUGGUUGUAGUGGGAGCCACUAUGGUUGUAGUGGGAGCCAUUGUGGUUGUAGUGGGAGCAGCUGUGGUAGUAGUGGGAGAAUCUAUUGUUAUGCUAGCAGUUGUGGUUGUUGUGGGAGAAGCUGAGUAUGUUGUGAGCGUAGCUGUGGUUGUUGUUGCCUCAGCUUUUGUUGUAGCAGCAACUGUGGUUGUUGUGGGAGUAGAUGUGGUCGUCGUUGGAGUAGAUGGUGUGGUGGGAGAAGCUGUGUUUGCGGAUGCAGCUGUGAUUGUUGUUGCCACAGCUGUGGUUGUUGAAGCUGUAGAUGUUAUUGGUGUUGCUGUUGCCAUUGUGGGAACAGCUGUGGUUGUUGUAAGGGAACCUGUUGUGGUUGUGGGAGAAGUUGUGGUGGUUUUGGGGUUAGCUGUGGUUAUGAUAGGGCCAGCAGUGGUGGUUGUUACAUCAGCUGUUGUUAUUGCUAUGGGAGCUGUUGUAGUGGGAGCCGCUGUGGUUGUAGCGGGAGCCGCUGUGGUUGUAGUGGGAGCAGCUGUGGUUGUAGUGGGAGCCACUAUGGUUGAAGUGGGAGCCCCUGUGGUUGUAGUGGGAGCCGCUGUGGUUGUAGUGGGUGCUGCUGUACUUGUUGUAGCUGCAGCUGUGGAUGUAGUGGGAGCAGCUGUGGUUGUUGUGGUAAAAUCUGUGGUUGUUGUGGUCAAAACUGUUGUUGUUGUGAUCGAAGCUGUUGUUGUAGCUGCAGCUGUGAUUGUGGUUGGAGUGGGUGUUGUUGUUGUGGUUGCAGAUGUACUUGUUGUAGCUGCAGCUGUGGUUGUAUUGGGGGAAGCUGUGGUUGAAGUAAGGGAAACUGUUGUGGUUGUGGGAGCAGCUGUAGUUGUUGUAACAUCAGCAGGGGUUGUUGUAGGAGACGCUGUGGUUGUUGUAACAUCAGGUGUUGUUGUUGUGGGAGCCACUGUGGUUGUUGUGGGAGUCGCUGCGGUUGAUGUGGGAGCCGCUGUGGUUGUUGUGGUAGAAGCUGUGGUUGUUGUGAUAGAAGCUGUUGUUGUAGCAGCAUCUGUAAUUGUGGUUGGAGCAGGUGUGGUUGUUGUGGGUGCAGCUGUACUUGUUGUAGCUGCAGCUGUGGUUGUUGUGGGUGCAGCUGUGGUUGCAUUGGGGGAAGCUGUGGUUGUAGUAAGGGAAACUGUUGUGGUUGUGGGAGCUGCUGUAGUUAUGGGAGAAGUUGUGGUUUUUGUGGGUGCAAUUGUGGUUGUUCUGAGAGUGUCUGUGGUUGAUGUGGACAGGGCUUCAAAUGUUGUAGCCUCAGCUUUUGUUGUAGUAGCAACUGUGGUCGUUGUUGGAGUAGAUGUUGUGGUGGGAGAAGCUGUGUUUGUGGAUGCAGCUGUGAUUGUUGAAUCCACAGCUGUGCUUGUUGAAGCUGUAGAUGUUAUUGGUGAUGUUGUUGACAUUGUGGGAUCAGUUGUGGUUGUUGUAAGGGAAGCUGUUGUGGUUGUGGGAGAAGUUGUGGUUGUUUUGGGGUUAGCUGUAGUUGUGGUAGGGGCAGCAGUGGUGGUUGUUACAUCAGCUUUUGUUGUUGCUAUGGGAGCUGUUGCAGUGGGAGCCGCUGUGGUUGUUGUGGGAGUCGCUGUGGUUGUUGUGGGAGCCGCUGUUGUUGUUGUAACACCAGCUGUGGUUGUUGUGGGAGACGCUGUGGUUGUUGUGGGAUCCACUGUGGUUGAUGUGGGGUAAGCUGUGGUUGUUGUGGGAGCAGCUUUGGUCGUUGUGGUCGAAGCUGUUAUUGAUGUAUUAGAAGCUGUUGUUGUAGCAGCAGCUGGGAUUGUGGUUGGAGCAAGUGUGGCUGUUGUGGGUGCAGCUGUACUUGUAGCUGCAGCUGUGGUUGUUUUGGGGGAAGCUGUGUUUAAAGUAAGGGAAGCUGAUGUGUUUGUGGGAGCAGCUGUAGUUAUGGGAGCAGCUGUGGUUUUUAUGGGUGCAUCUGUGGUUGUUGUGGGAGCUGCUGUGGUUGAUGUGGACAGGGCUUCGAAUGUUGUAGCCUCAGCUUUUUUUGUAGCAGCAACUGUGGUUGUUGUGGGAGCAGAUGUGGUCGUUGUUGGAGUAGAUGUUGUGGUGGGAGAAGCUGUGGUUGUUGUGGGUGCAGCUGUGAUUGCUGUAGCCACAGCUGUGCUCAUUGAAGCCACAUCCGUAGACAUCAUUGGUGCUGCUGUGAUCGUUGUCGGACCAGCUGUAGAUGUUGUAAGGGAAGCUGUUGUGGUUGUGUGGGAUGCUGUAGUUUUGGGAUAAGUUGUGGUUGUUGGGGGAGCAGCAGUGGUUGUUGUGGGAGACACUGUGGUUGUUGUAACAUCAGCUGUGGUUGUUGUGGGAGCCACUGUGGUUGUUGUGGGAGCUGUUGUGGUUGAUCUGGACAGGGCUUCGAAUGUUGUAGCCUCAGCUUUUGUUGUAGCAGCAACUGUGGUUGUUGUGGGAGCAGAUGUGGUCGUUGUUGGAGUAGAUGUUGUGGUGGGAGAAGCUGUGGUUGUUGUGGCCGAAUUUGUUGUGAUAGAAGCUGUUGUUGUAGCAGCAUCUGUAACUGUGGUUGGAGCAGGUGUGGUUGUUGUGGGUGCAGCUGUACUUGUUGUAGCUGCAGCUGUGGUUGAAUUGGGGGAAGCUGCGGUUGUAGUAAGGGAAACUGUUGUGAGAUCUUCUUUAGUUAUGGGAGCAUUUGUGGUUUUUGUGGGUGCAAUUGUGGUUGUUGUGAGAGCUGCUGUGGUUGAUGUGGACAGGAUUUCGAAUGUUGUAGCCUCAGCUUUUGUUGUAGCAGCCACUGUGGUUGUUGUAGGUGCAGAUGUGGUAGUUGUUGGAGUAGAUGUUGUGGUGGGAGAAGCUGUGGUUGUUGUGGGUGCAGCUGUGACUGCUGUAGCCACAGCUGUGCUCGUUGAAGCCGCAUCCGUAGACAUCAUUGGUGCUGCUGUGAUCGUUGUCCAACCAGCUGUUGAUGUUGUAAAGGAAGCUGUUGUGGUUGUGGGAGAUGCUGUAGUUUUGGGAUAAGUUGUGGUUGUUGUGGGAGCAGCUGUGGUUGCUGUGGGAGACACUGUGGUUGUUGUGGGAGACGCUGUGGUUGUUGUUGGAGCAGCUGUGGUUGUUGUGGGAGACGCUGUGGUUGUUGUAACAUAAGCUGUGGUUGUUGUGGGAGCCGCUGUGGUUGUUGUGGGAGCCGCUGUGGUUGUUGUGGGAGCUGCUGUGGUUGAUGUGGAGAGGGCUUCGAAUGUUGUAGCCUCAGAUUUUGUUGUAGCAGCAACUGUGGUUGUUGUGGGAGCAGAUGUGGUCACUGUUGGAGUAGAUGUUGUGGUGGGAGAAGCUGUGGUUGUUGUGGGUGCAGCUGUGAUUAUUGUGGGAGACACUGUGGUUGUUGUAACAUCAGCUGUGGUUGUUGUGGGAGCUGCAUUGGUUGUUGUAACAUCAGCAGUGGUUGUUGUUGGAGCAGCUGUGGUUGUUGUGGGAGACGCUGUGGUUGUUGUAAAAUCAGCUGUUGUGGUUGUGGGAGAUGCUGUAGUUUUGGGAUAAGUUGUGGUUGUUGUUGGAGCAGCUGUGGUCGUUGUGGGAGACACUGUGGUUGUUGUAACAUCAGCUGUGGUUGUUGUGGGAGCAGCUGUGGUUGUUAUGGGAGAUGCUGUGGUUGUUGUAACAUCAGCAGUGGUUGUUGUGGGAGACGCUGUGGUUGUUGUAACAUCAGCAGUGGUUGUUGUUGGAGCAGCUGUGGUUGUUGUGGGAGACGCUGUGGUUGUUGUAAAAUCAGCUGUUGUGGUUGUGGGAGAUGCUGUAGUUUUGGGAUAAGUUGUGGUUGUUGUUGGAGCAGCUGUGGUCGUUGUGGGAGACACUGUGGUUGUUGUAACAUCAGCUGUGGUUGUUGUGGGAGCAGCUGUGGUUGUUAUGGGAGAUGCUGUGGUUGUUGUAACAUCAGCAGUGGUUGUUGUGGGAGACGCUGUGGUUGUUGUGGGAGCUGCUGUGGUUGAUGUGGACAGGGCUUCGAAUGUUGUAGCCUCAGCUUUUGUUGUAGCAGCAAUUGUGGUUGUUGUAAGGGAAGCAGUUGUGGUUGUGGGAGAAGUUGUGGUUGUUUUGGGGUUAGCUGUGGUUGUGGUAGGGCCAGCAGUGGUGGUUGUUACAUCAGCUGUUGUUAUUGCUAUGGGAUCUGUUGUAGUGGGAGCAGCUGUGGUUGUAGUGGGAGCUGCUGUUGUUGUAGUGAGAGCCACUGUGGUUGUAGUGGGAGCCGCUGUGGUUGUAGUGGGAGCCGCUGUGGUUGUAGUGGGAGCCGCUGUGGUUGUAGUGGGAGACGUUGUGAUUGAAGUGGGAGCCACUGUUGUUGUAGUGGGAGCCGCUGUGAUUGUAGUGGAUGCCGCAGUGGUUGUAUUGGGAGCCGCUGUGGUUGUAGUGGGAACCGCUGUGGUCGUAGUGGGAUCCGCUGUGGUUGUUGUGGGAGCAGCUGUGGUUCUUGUGGGAGAUGCUGUGUUUGUUGUGGGAGCCACUGUGAUUGUUGUGGGAUCCGCUGUGGUUGUUGUGGGAGCAGCUGUGGUUCUUGUGGGAGAUGCUGUGUUUGUUGUGGGAGCCGCUGUGAUUGCUGUGGGAGUCGCUGUGGAUGUUGUGGGAGCCGCUGUGGCUUUAGUGGCAGCCGCUGUGGUUGUAGUGGGAGACGCUGUGGUUGUAGUGGGAGCCGCUGUGGUUGUAGUGGGAGCCACUGUGGUUGUAGUGGGAGCCGCUGUGGUUGUAGUGGGAGCCACUGUGGUUGUAGUGGGACCCGCUGAAGUUGUUGUGUUAAAAGCUGUGGUUGUUGUGGUCGAAGCUGUUGUUGUUGUGAUAGAAGCUGUUGUUGUAGCAGCAGCUGUGAUUGUGGUUGGAGCAGGUGUGGUUGUUGUGGGUGCAGCUGUACUUGUUGUAGCUGCAACUGUGGUUGUAGUGGGAGCAGCUGUGAUUAUUGUGGGAGACACUGUGGUUGUUGUAACAUCAGCUGUGGUUGUUGUGGGAGCUGCAUUGGUUGUUGUAACAUCAGCAGUGGUUGUUUUUGGAGCAGCUGUGGUUGUUGUGGGAGACGCUGUGGUUGUUGUAACAUCAGCUGUGGUUGUUGUGGGAGCAGCUGUGGUUGUUGUGGGAGUUGCUGUGGUUGUUGUAACAUCAGCUGUGGUUGUUGUGGGAGCCGCUGUGGUUGUUGUGAGAGCUGCUGUGGUUGAUGUAGACAGGGCUUUGAAUGUUGUAGCCUCAGAUUUUGUUGUAGCAGCAACUGUGGUUGUUGUGGGAGCAGAUGUGGUCACUGUUGGAGUAGAUGUUGUGGUGGGAGAAGCUGUGGUUGUUGUGGGUGCAGCUGUGACUGCUGUAGCCACAGCUGUGCUCGUUGAAGCCGCAUCCGUAGACAUCAUUGGUGCUGCUGUGAUAGUUGUCGGACCAGCUGUUGAUGUUGUAAGGGAAGCUGUUGUGGUUGUGGGAGAUGCUGUAGUUUUGGGAUAAGUUGUGGUUGUUGUUGGAGCAGAUGUGGUCGUUGUGGGAGACACUGUGGUUGUUGUAACAUCAGCUGUGGUUGUUGUUGGAGCAGCUGUGGUUGUUGUGGGAGACGCUGUGGUUGUUGUAACAUCAGCUGUGGUUGUUGUGGGAGCAGCUGUGGUUGUUGUGGGAGUUGCUGUGGUUGUUGUAACAUCAGCUGUGGUUGUUGUGGGAGCCGCUGUGGUUGUUGUGAGAGCUGCUGUGGUUGAUGUAGACAGGGCUUUGAAUGUUGUAGAGUCAGAUUUUGUUGUAGCAGCAACUGUGGUUGUUGUGGGAGCAGAUGUGGUCACUGUUGGAGUAGAUGUUGUGGUGGGAGAAGUUGUGGUUGUUGUGGGUGCAGCUGUGAUUGCUGUAGCCACAGUUGUGCUCAUUGAAGCCGCAUCCGUAGACAUCAUUGGUGCUGCUGUGAUCGCUGUCGGACCAGCUGCUGAUGUAAGGAAAGCUGUUGUGGUUGUUGUUGGAGCAGCUGUGGUCGUUGUGGGAGCAGCUGUGGUUGUUGUAACAUCAGCUGUGGUUGUUGUGGGAGCAGCUGUGGUUGUUAUGGGAGACGCUGUGGUUGUUGUAACAUCAGCAGUGGUUGUUGUGGGAGCCGCUGUGGUUGUUGUGGGAGACGCUGUGGUUGUUGUGGGAGCUGCUGUGGUUGAUGUGGACAGGGCUUCGAAUGUUGUAGCCUCAGCUUUUGUUGUAGCAGCAAUUGUGGUUGUUGUAAGGGAAGCUGUUGUGGUUGUGGGAAAAGUUGUGGUUGUUUUGGGGUUAGCUGUGGUUGUGGUAGGGCCAGCAGUGGUGGUUGUUACAUCAGCUGUUGUUAUUGCUAUGGGAUCUGUUGUAGUGGGAGCAGCUGUGGUUGUAGUGGGAGCUGCUGUUGUUGUAGUGGGAGCCGCUGUGGUUGUAGUGGGACCCGCUGUGGUUGUAGUGGGAGCCGCUGUGGUUGUAGUGGGAGACGUUGUGGUUGAAGUGGGAGCCACUGUGGUUGUAGUGGGAGACGCUGUGUUUGUUGUGGGAGCCGCUGUGAUUGUUGUGGGAGUCGCUGUGGAUGUUGUGGGAGCUGCUGUGGUAGUUGUGGGGUAAGCUGUGGUUGUUGUGGGAGUAGAUGUUGUGGUGGGAGAAGCUGUGUUUAUUGAUGCAGCUGUGAUUAUUGUAGCCACAGCUGUGCUUGUUGAAACUGUAGAUGGUAUUGGUGUUGCUGUUGACAUUGUGGGAUCAGUUGUGGUUGUUGUAAGUGAAUCUGUUGUGGUUGUGGGAGAAGUUGUGGUGGUUUUGGGUUUAGUUGUGGUUGUGGUAGGGCCAGCAGUGCUGGUUGUUACAUCAGCUUUUGAUGUUGCUGAGGGAGCUGUUGUAGUGGGAGCCGCUGUGGAUUUAGUGGGAGCCGCUGUGGUUGUAGUGGGAGCCGCUGUGGUUGUAGUGGGAGCCACUGUGGUUGUAGUGGGAGCCACUGUGGUUGUAGUGGGAGCGACUGUGGUUGUAGUGGGAGCCACUGUGGUUGUAGUGGGACCCGCUGAAGUUGUUGUGGUAGAAGCUGUGGUUGUUGUCGUCGAAGCUGUUGUUGUUGUGAUAGAAGCUGUUGUUGUUGCAACAGCUGUGAUUAUGGUUGGAACAGGUGUGGUUGUUGUGGGUGCAGCUGUGGUUGUAUUGGGGGAAGCUGUGGUUGUAGUAAGGGAAACUGUUGUGGUUGUGGGAGCAGCUGUAGUUGUGGGAGCCGCUGUGGUUUUUGUGGGUGCAGCUGUGGUUGUUGUGGGAGCUGCUGUAGUUGAUGUGGACAGGGCUUCGAAUGUUGUAGCCUCAGCUUUUGUUGCAGCAGCAACUGUGGUUGUUGUGGGAGAAGAUGUGGUCGUUGUUGGAGUAGAUGUUGUGGUGGGAGAAGCUGUGGAUAUUGUGGCCGAAGCUGUUGUGAUAGAAGCUGUUGUUGUAGCAGCAUCUGUUAUUGCGGUUGGAGAAGGUGUGGUUGUUGUGGGUGCAGCUGUACUUGUUGUAGCUGCAGCUGUGGUUGUAUUGGGGGAAGCUGUGGUUGUUGUAAGGGAAGCUGUUGUGGUUGUGGGAGAGGUUGUGGUUGUUUUGGGAGCCGCCGAGGAUGUUGUCGGGUAAGAUGUGGUUGUUGUGGGAGCAGCUGUGGUUGUUGUGGGUGCAUCUGUGGUUGUUGUGUGUGCAUCUGUCGUUGUUGUGGGGAUGGCUGUGGUUGUCAGAGCUGCUGUAGGUGUUGUAGGAAUAGAUGUGGUUGUUGUGGGUGCUUCUGUGGUUGUUGUGGGUGCAGCUGUGGUUGUUAUGGCUGAAGCUGUGGUUGUUGUGGGGAUAGCUGUUGUUGUUGUGGGGAUGGCGGUGGUUUUCUGAGCUGCUGUAGUUGUUGCCGGAGAAGAUGUGGCUGUUGUGGGUGCAUUUGUGGUUGUUGUGUGUGCUUCUGUGGUUGUUGUGGGUGCAGCUGUGGUUGUUGUGGGUGCAGCUGUGGUUGAUGUGGGGCUGGCAGUGGUGGUGGUAGAGGAAGCUGUUGUGGAUGUUGUAGUUGUUGUCAGAGAAGAUGUGGUUGGUGUGUGUGCAUGUGUGGUUGUUGUGGGAGCAGCUGUGGUUGUUGUCGGGAAGGCUGUGUUUGUAGUAGCUGCAGCUAUUGUUGAUAGUGGUACAGUUGUUGUUGUUGUGGGAGCAGCUGUGGUUAUUGUGGGAUUAGCUUUGGUUGUUGUUGUAGAAGAUGUGGUUGUUAUGGCUGAAGCUGUGGUUGUUGUGGGGCUGGCUGUGGUUUUUGUGGGGAUGGCUGUGGUUGUCGCAGAUGCUGUAGUUGUUGCCGGAGAAGAUGUGGUUGUUGUGGGUGCAUCUGUGGUUGUUGUGGGGACGGUUGUUGCUGUCGGAGCUGCUAUAGGUGUUGUCGGAGAAGAUGUGGUUGUUGUGGGUGCUUCUGUGGUUGUUGUGGGUGAAGCUGUGGUUGUUGUGGGUGCAUCUGUUGUUGAUGUGGGGCUGGCUGUGGUGGUUGUCGUGGAAGCUUUUCUGGAUGUUGUAGAUUCUAUAGUUGUUGUCGGAGAAGAUGUGGUUGUUGUGGGUGCAUCUGUGGUUGUUGUGGGUGCAGCUGUGUUUGGUAUGGCUGAAGCUGUGGUUCUGGUGGGGAUAGCUGUGGUUGUUGUCUGAGAAAAUGUGGUUGUUGUGGGUGCAGCUGUGGUUGUUGUAGAAGAAGCUGUGGUUGUUGUAGAAGCUGUGGUGGUUGUAGAGGAAGCUGUUGUGGUCAUUGGAUUUGCUAUAACUGUUGUUGGAGAAAAUGUGGUUGUUGUGGGUGCAUCCGUUGUUGUUGUGUGUGCGUCUGUGGUUGUUGUGGAGAUGGCUGUGGUUGUCGGAGCCGCUGUAGGUGUUGUCGGAGAUGUGGAUGUUGUGGGUGCUUCUGUGGUUGUUGUGGGUGCUUCUGUGGUUAUUGUGGAAGAAGCUGUGGUUGAUGUGGGGCUGGCUGUGGUGGUUAAAGAGGAAGCUGUUGUGGAUGUUGUAGUUGCUGUAGUUGUUGUCAGAGAAGAUGUGGUUGUUGUGGGUGCAUCUGUGGUUGUUGUGGGUGCAUCUGUGGUUGUUGAGGGAUCAGCUUUGGUUGUUGUUGUAGAAGCUGUGGUGGUUGUAGAGAUGGCUGUUGUGGUCUUUGGAGCUGCUGUAGUUGUUGUCGGAGAAGAUGUGGUUGUUGUGUGUGCAUCUGUGGUUGUUGUAGGGACGGUUGUUGUUGUCGGAACUGCUGUAGGUGUUGUCGGAAAAGAGGUGGUUGAUGUCUGUGCAUCUGUGGUUGUUGUGGGGAUGACUGUGGUUGUUGGAGCUGCUGUAGGUGUUGUCGGAGAAGAUGUGGUUGUUGUGGGUGCAUCUGUGGUUAUUGUGGGAUCAGCUUUGAUUGUUGUUUUAGAAGCUGUGGUUGUUGUUGUAGAGGAAGCUGCUGUGGUCAUUGGAGCUGCUGUAGUUGCUGUUGGAGAAGAUGUGGUUGUUGUGGGUUCAUCUCUGUUUGUUGUGGGUGCAGCUGUGGUUGUUGUGGGUGCAGCUGUGAUUGUUGUUGUAGCAGCUGUGGUUGUUGUGGGAGCAGCAGUGGUUGUUGUGGGGUUUGCAGUAGUUGUUGUGGGAGCUGCUGUAGUAGGUGUCAGAGAAAAUGUGGAUGGGGGUUGUGCAUCUGUGGUUGUUGUGUGUGCAUCUGUGGUUCUUUUCGAGAUGGCUGUGGUUGUCGGAGCUGCUGAAGGUGUUGUCGGAGAAGAUGUGGUUGUUGUGGGUGCAUCUGUGGUUGUUGUGUGUGCAUCUGUGGUUGUUGUGUGAACAGCUGUGGUUGAUGUGGGGCUGGUGGUGGUGGUUGAAGAGGAAGCUGUUGUGGUCGUUGGAGCUGCUGUAGUGAUUUUCGGAGAAGAUGUGGUUGAUGUGUGAGAUGCUGUAGUUGUUGUGGGGAUGGCGGUGGAUGUCGAAGCUGCUUUAGUUGUUGUGUGUGCAUCUGUGGUUGUUGUGUCUGCUUCAGUGGUUGUGGGGAUGGCUGUGGUUGUUGUGUGUGCAUCUGUGGUUGUUGUGGGGAUGGCUGUGGUUGAUGUGGGUGCAGCUCUGGUUGAUGUGGGGCUGGCUGUGGUGGUUGAAGAGGAAGCUGUUGUAGAUGUUGUAGAUGCUGUAGUUGUUGUCGGAGAAGAUGUGGUUGUUGUGGUUGCAUCUGUGGUUGUUGUGGGUGCAUCUGUGGUUGUUGUUGGUGCAUCUGUGGUUGUUGUGUGUCCGUCUGUGGUUGUGGGGAUGGCUGUGGUUGUCGGAGAUGCUGUAGGUGUUGUCGGAGAAGAUGUGGUUGUUGGGGCUGCUUCUGCUGUUGAU